UACGUAGGGGGCGAGCGUUAUCCGGAACUAUUGGGCGUAAAGCGCGCGCAGGCGGUCAUUUAAGUCAGGUGUGAAAGGCUGCGGCUCAACCGCAGAGCGGCACCUGAAACUGGAUGACUUGAGUGCAGGAGAGGAGAGCGGAAUUCCCGGUGUAGCGGUGGAAUGCGUAGAGAUCGGGAGGAACACCAGUGGCGAAGUCGGCUCUCUGGCCUGUUUCUGACGCUGAGGCGCGAAAGCGUGGGGAGCAAACAGG
This 253-nucleotide unclassified non-coding RNA is filed under the name uncultured Thermoactinomycetaceae bacterium. RNAcentral describes it as "contains 16S-23S intergenic spacer region". It matches the Rfam family "Bacterial small subunit ribosomal RNA", at positions 524 to 776 of the family's 1533-position model. Lineage: Bacteria; Bacillati; Bacillota; Bacilli; Caryophanales; Thermoactinomycetaceae. The record is from RNAcentral.